Molecule: regulatory RNA element, 47 nt
Rfam family: PreQ1 (pre queuosine) riboswitch aptamer
About the family: This family is a bacterial riboswitch that binds to the metabolite preQ1, an intermediate in the biosynthesis of the modified nucleoside queuosine from GTP. One example of this riboswitch is located in the leader of the Bacillus subtilis ykvJKLM (queCDEF) operon which encodes four genes necessary for queuosine production. PreQ1 binding to the riboswitch aptamer is thought to induce premature transcription termination within the leader to down-regulate expression of these genes.
Source: Rfam
AAUAAACUGGUUCGAAAGCCAAACCCAGUAUAAAAAACUAAGAAUAA